Molecule: long non-coding RNA, 502 nt
Filed under: Dromaius novaehollandiae (emu)
Lineage: Eukaryota; Metazoa; Chordata; Aves; Casuariiformes; Dromaiidae
Description: lncRNA (ENSDNVG00000010150.1)
Source: RNAcentral
CAGAAAGAUCCUUUCUGCAUGCGUAUUUGUUCAGAUGGAGUGCAACACUAUUUACUGCUAGACAGAAGGGCUUCAAGCAUUCUCUCAGGAUGAAGAGCUCGAAACCAUGAGUAAAAUAGAUUAACUUGUAUCAAGCAUUUAUAAAAGCUGAGGAUAUUACCAGUGCUUCCUCUUCACCAUGAUGAUUACAAGUAUGAAACCUAGGAGUCCAAGUAAAGCAGGAGCUGUGCCCAUCAUGUGGGAGAGAGAUGCACUUACGGACAGUAGGGCAUGACUGACUGCUCUGUCACAACYUUACACAACACACCACUGAAACUUAGGCUCCCAUAAAUGCUGUUGAAGUUUGAAAGACAUCUGUAAACUUCAGCAGGGACUAGUCAGUGCCCAUAACAACAUUGAGCUGUUCCAGAUCCGUCGGUGGCACGCCGCCAGCGUCUCCACUUUGUCUGAGUGAACCAAGUGAGCAUUAUAUCAAAUGCAUUUUAAAGCAAAUAGCUUUACU